GAGGGGGUAAAUGACACAAAUAGAACUGCUAAUUCCUAUUUACCAGCGUUCGAAUCCCUGGCCACCUCA
Molecule: transfer RNA, 69 nt
Filed under: Sphaerodactylus elegans
Lineage: Eukaryota; Metazoa; Chordata; Lepidosauria; Squamata; Sphaerodactylidae
Description: tRNA-Ser
Source: RNAcentral